UUCUGGCUCAGGAUGAACGCUAGCGACAGGCUUAACACAUGCAAGUCGAGGGGCAGCAUAAAAGUAGCAAUACUUGGUGGCGACCGGCGCACGGGUGAGUAACGCGUAUGCAACCUACCUAUCAGAGGGGAAUAACCCGGCGAAAGUCGGACUAAUACCGCAUAAAACAGGGGCACCGCAUGGUGAUAUUUGUUAAAGAAAUUCGCUGAUAGAUGGGCAUGCGUUCCAUUAGGUAGUUGGUGAGGUAACGGCUCACCAAGCCGACGAUGGAUAGGGGAACUGAGAGGUUGGUCCCCCACACUGGUACUGAGACACGGACCAGACUCCUACGGGAGGCAGCAGUGAGGAAUAUUGGUCAAUGGGCGGGAGCCUGAACCAGCCAAGUCGCGUGAAAGGAAGAAGGAUCUAUGGUUCGUAAACUUCUUUUGCAGGGGAAUAAAGUGCAGGACGUGUCCUGUUUUGUAUGUACCCUGAGAAUAAGGAUCGGCUAACUCCGUGCCAGCAGCAGC
RNAcentral lists this ribosomal RNA (509 nucleotides) under uncultured bacterium. RNAcentral's name for it is "bacterial SSU rRNA". It matches the Rfam family "Bacterial small subunit ribosomal RNA", at positions 17 to 518 of the family's 1533-position model. The record is from RNAcentral.